RNAcentral lists this ribosomal RNA (912 nucleotides) under uncultured archaeon. RNAcentral describes it as "bacterial SSU rRNA". It matches the Rfam family "Archaeal small subunit ribosomal RNA", at positions 1 to 922 of the family's 1478-position model. The record is from RNAcentral.
UUCCGGUUGAUCCUGCCGGACCCUACUGCUAUCGGGGUGGGACUAAGACAUGCGAGUCGAACGCGCCGGACGUGGCAUACGGCUCAGUAACACGUGGCCAACCUACCCUCGAGACAGGGACAACCCCGGGAAACUGGGGCUAAUCCCAGAUAGAUGAGAACUCCUGGAAUGGGUUCUCGUCCAAAGCUUCUUCGCUCAAGGAUGGGGCCGCGUCCGAUCAGGCUGUUGGUGAGGCAACGGCUCACCAAACCUUUAACCGGUACGGGCCGUGGGAGCGGGUGCCCGGAGAUGGGAACUGAGACAAGGUCCCAGGCCCUACGGGGCGCAGCAGUUACGAAAACUUGUCAAUGCACGAAAGUGUGAACGGGCUACCCCGAGUGCCGUCCGCUGAGGAUGGCUUUUCUCUGCUGUAAGAAAGCGGAGGAAUAAGGGGAGGGCAAGACUGGUGUCAGCCGCCGCGGUAAUACCAGCUCCCCGAGUGGUGGGGAUGAUUAUUUGGCCUAAAGCGUCCGUAGCCAGUUCGGCAAGUCUCCCGUUAAAUCCAACGAUCUAAUCGUUGGGCUGCGGGAGAUACUGCAGGGCUAGGGGGCGGAAGAAGCCGACGGUACUCGUGGGGUAGGGGUGAAAUCCUAUAAUCCCAAGAGGACCACCAGUGGCGAAGGCGGUCGGCUAGAACGCGCCCGACGGUGAGGGACGAAAGCUGGGGGAGCGAUCCGGAUUAGAUACCCGGGUAGUCCCAGCUGUAAACGAUGCAGGCUAGGUGUUAGCGUGACUACGAGUCACGCUAGUGCCGCAGGGAAGCCGUUAAGCCUGCCGCCUGGGAAGUACGGUCGCAAGACUGAAACUUAAAGGAAUUGGCGGGGGAGCACCACAAGGGGUGAAGCUUGCGGUUCAAUUGGAGUCAACGCCGGA